CGCCGUCUUACUGGGGUGGCCGCCGCCGGGAGCUUCUUUCCGGGGAGCUGGUCCGCCGUGGUUUCGACCCGCGGAUCGGCGACC
RNAcentral lists this transfer RNA (84 nucleotides) under Clostridium paraputrificum. RNAcentral describes it as "tRNA-Gly(tcc)". Lineage: Bacteria; Bacillati; Bacillota; Clostridia; Eubacteriales; Clostridiaceae. The record is from RNAcentral.